CCUACGGGUGGCAGCAGUCGAGAAUCAUUCACAAUGGGGGAAACCCUGAUGGUGCGACGCCGCGUGGGGGAAUGAAGGUCUUCGGAUUGUAAACCCCUGUCAUGUGGGAGCAAAUUCAAAAGAUAGUACCACAAGAGGAAGAGACGGCUAACUCUGUGCCAGCAGCCGCGGUAAUACAGAGGUCUCAAGCGUUGUUCGGAAUCACUGGGCGUAAAGCGUGCGUAGGCUGUUUCGUAAGUCGUGUGUGAAGGGCGCGGGCGCAACCCGCGGACGGCACAUGAUACUGCGAGACUAGAGUAAUGGAGGGGGAACCGGAAUUCUCGGUGUAGCAGGGAAAUGCGUAGAUAUCGAGAGGAACACUCGUGGCGAAGGCGGGUUCCUGGACAUUAACUGACGCUGAGGCACGAAGGCCAGGGGAGCGAAAGGGAUUAGAUACCCCAGUAGUC
This 446-nucleotide ribosomal RNA is filed under the name uncultured bacterium. RNAcentral's name for it is "partial 16S ribosomal RNA". It matches the Rfam family "Bacterial small subunit ribosomal RNA", at positions 338 to 795 of the family's 1533-position model. The record is from RNAcentral.